Molecule: ribosomal RNA, 670 nt
Filed under: alpha proteobacterium IMCC14580
Lineage: Bacteria; Pseudomonadati; Pseudomonadota; Alphaproteobacteria
Description: bacterial SSU rRNA
Rfam family: Bacterial small subunit ribosomal RNA
Source: RNAcentral
AACGAACGCUGGCGGCAGGCUCAACACAUGCAAGUCGAGCGCUCUCUUGGGAGGGAGCGGCGGACGGGUUAGUAACGCGUGGGAACGUACCCUUCUGUACGGAAUAGCCUCGGGAAAAUGAGAGUAAUACCGUAUACGCCCUUUGGGGGAAAGAUUUAUCGGAGAAGGAUCGGCCCGCGUCGGAUUAGGUAGUUGGUGGGGUAACGGCCUACCAAGCUUACGAUCCAUAGCUGGUUUGAGAGGAUGAUCAGCAACACUGGGAUUGAGACACGGCCCAGACUCCUACGGGAGGCAGCAGUGGGGAAUCUUAGACAAUGGGCGCAAGCCUGAUCUAGCCAUGCCGCGUGAGUGAGGAAGCCCUUAGGGUGGUAAAGUUCUUUCGCCAGGGAUGAUAAUGACAGUACCUGGUAAAGAAACCCCGGCUAACUCCGUGCCAGCAGCCGCGGUAAUACGGAGGGGGUUAGCGUUGUUCGGAAUUACUGGGCGUAAAGCGUGCGUAGGCGGAUUAUUAAGUUAGGGGUGAAAUCCCGGGGCUCAACCCCGGAACUGCCUCUAAUACUGGUAGUCUAGAGUUUGAGAGAGGUGAGUGGAAUUCCGAGUGUAGAGGUGAAAUUCGUAGAUAUUCGGAGGAACACCAGGGCGAAGGCAGGCUCACUGCCUCAGAUACUGA